Molecule: long non-coding RNA, 6375 nt
Organism: Cavia porcellus (domestic guinea pig)
Lineage: Eukaryota; Metazoa; Chordata; Mammalia; Rodentia; Caviidae
Exons: 3
Source: RefSeq, a predicted model, not a curated record
UGUCUGUUUUUCUUUUUAUUAUUAAAUUAUACAAUUCUGAGAAAUGCCAAAUGAUUUGAAGGGUUAGAUAAACCAUAAGAUUAAAUUACAGCAGCUUCUUUCCUUCCCACCUUAUUAUUGUGGUAGACUGUAACAGAUUUUUUUAAGUUGGGUUUUUAUGUAGUUUGAUUGAAACUUGAUGUAUCUCAGAAAGCAGAACGGUCUAAUGAUUUAAAAAGAAAAAAGGGGUGAACCCUCACAUAAGUAAAAGGCUGUGUAGGCGCAUAAGAGCUCUAUUUAUUUCAAAUUGAUAGCACUUGAAAAAGCUGAAUUCGUCAGUAAAAUUCAUUUUCAAACUUUUUUCCUGACUUCCUCCCACUCUUGACAGUUCGCAACAUUAAAAAUUUUUUAUUAAAGUCUAAAGAAAUAUUGUAAAGAAAAGAGGGCACCUGAAUUAUAUGGAGAAAGAAAUAAUUGCCAGAUAUGGUUUCUCAGAGGAGCCUAAUAUUUUGUUUCCAUUUACAAGGUACUGCAAAUUUGUAAGUAGAUCAGCUUCUUUAUUUAACUAAAAGUGCCCUUGUAUAACUUGCUACUUUACUACAUAACAAAAUGUUCUAAUGGACAGUUUAGGAUCUGUGAAAAUCCAAUUAUCCAGAUAGAAAACCGGACUUGUAAUAUACAUUAGCUUUAGUUAUAGAAUUUCUUUUCAAAUUAGGCUACCAUACAAUGCCUUAGUGACCCAUGUUGAAUCUCUCUAACUCCUGAUGAGGGCUUCUUUCCACGCUCUCUGCAAUGCUGUACCACCUAGUUAAUUCUAGAAGAAAAAUAAGAGAGCAUCAGGUGCACCAGUUACUACAUAAGGAAACUGGACUAGGAAGACCUCUUCUUCAAAGCCUAGAGGCCUUCAGUUACCGGGAGCUUCCCGGUGGUGCUGCAGCUUCCACUGCGGAUGCCCAAAGCCUGUGCUUCCUGGAUGUUCCCGGUAGGAGAUGAGAAGAUGAAGUUUCACUGUUUUGCCUAAGCUGGUCUUGAACUCCUGGGAACUGCCUGCCUCAAGCUCCAUUCUGUGACUAUACAAGUUGAGAAAAAGUAUUGUUUAUGGUGUGGAAGAAGAACCAUUGCUUUCAAGAAUGGGUGGAGGGAUACAAACAGAAGUGACUCAUGCCUGUGUCAGAUCUUUUGAAUAAAAAGGUGUUACUAUGGCUUCAUGGCCAGCAUGUGAUCAGCUGCUGGCAACUGUUACCUUACAAAGAAAAAACAUGGUUUUGUACAGUGACUGAAGGGUGACCAGAAAGCUGAGUGGGAUGUCUCACAUUUUGGAUUAUUAAUUCCAACCCACUACUUGGCUUUUAAGCCAAUCCAGCUCUUCGUCAUGCAGACUUUAUAAACUGAUCCUUCUAAAACCUUUUAUUCCUGUGUUACACUUUCUAAACUGUGGUCACUUAAGCAACAGCUUUGUACAAAAGGACAUAGAAUUAGCUCAAAGCCAGUACAGCACAGCUCUGAAGAGCACACUCUGGCAUUCCACUUGCAGCAAUACUAAAUACAGAAUGACAAGCCCCUUUUUCCUUCCUUCAGAGGUGGCUCUGAAUGGUUUUACUUGGAGUAUGCCAGCAAAAGCCCACAUGCCAAGUGAUGCUUGAAUUUAUGCUAAUCAAUUCCUCCUUCUCCAGUUCUGGAGUAUAAGUCAGGAUGUCCCAGUGGAAGUUUUCCUUUCAAAAAGCAAUGUCAUCAAUAGUGAUACUGUUCUGAGCCUCCAGUCUGUUACAUGUCUCACCACAGAUUAUGGGCCCAUCACCAUCAGCUAGAAGUGGUGAGGACUUUUAUUAUCUGAAGCCAUAUUAGAACUGCCAGGCCAGAAGAUUAUGAUUUGUCACUGAAUGUAGCUAUAUGGAGAAUUGUAUGUGGAGUAUAUAAAACCUUUUCUGUGUCUCAUUUGCAUUGCAAAUAGGGAAGCUAACCAGAGUUCUUGAAUAAAUAACAUAAAUAAAACAUGGCUUUACUAUGGUAAAUGUUCCAUUCAUGCCAGAGGAAGCCAAAACCAUUACAGUGGAUUGUUUCCAUCUAAACAGUUCUAUCUCACACACCUCCCCUUUAAAGGGGCUGCCAAUAGGAUGGGGACCUGGUAGACAGCUUUGGAAAACACUCAGUAGAGGGAGCCUCAGGGGCUUUUUAGAAAGCAUGAUUCAUCACCCUGUAUUUUGUUUUGUUUUGAAUAUCCUCAUGACUAAGGGAGAAACAGUAGCCUGCUCUUCAACUCAGUCCAUGCCUGAGAGACCAGCCCAGAGCUCUAUGAAAGGCCAGGACCAGACAAAGCCUAUCAUCUGAGACUGAGAAAAAUACUACGUAACUCAAUGCAAAAGGCUGAAUUAGUCUACAGACCACAUUAAAGGGCAGUCAAUAUUUGAACUUCAACUCUAGUGGACGUUCAUUACGCUUCUGCCUGGCAUUUGCUCCUUCUUCUUGUGAUAGUAGUGGCCUGUUUCAUGUAUGUGCUUUGUGAUCCUUUCAUGCUUUCUAAAGGGAGUGCAUAUGCAGGAUAAGACAACUGAUGCUCCCCACUCUCUGGUCAUUGAAUCAGAGACAAAAGAACCCAAAUGCACCACAAAUCUUGCCAGUGAUGAUAGAAUUCAUUUCUGUGAAAUUCAUUUCUGUUGGAGAAAAGGACCCUUUCAUUUGCCUACCUUGUGCUUUGAGCAGAGGAUUGAGGCUUGGAGUUGCAGCCAGAAAAUGGAGCCGACAGACAGAAGCAGGCUGAGAGGCAGAUGAAAGAUAUGAAGAGCCUAAUGAAGGACAGUUUAAUGCCUUGUGCACUUAGGCCUGAAAACAGCCCUAUGCUGUGACCCAUGUAACAAAGCAAUGCUUUCUCUUGCUGCUUGCAUCAGUUAUGAUAGGAGCUACUGGCCACACACUCUUUUCCACCAUGACCGUUUCACAUCAUCCCAUCUUGGACUUCCUUCUUGGAGCCCCCACGCUGACUCAUGUGAGUGCUCACCCAUCAGUUCACUCAGGGUACCAGUGUUCUCCUGCAUCCAAGCUUUACUCAUGGUGCCGGUUCCUUAGAAAUCUCACCUUUCUUUUUCCUCAUGGCAAAACCCAUUGACUGACCCUCACGGCUGAAGCCAACCUCACCUGCUCAGUAAGGUGUGCAUUAAUUAGUACUUUACCCCACUCUCUAUGAGGAAAAUCUAAGAGUUUCCUGUUUUUAUCCUCAUGAUCAUUUCCCUUAGUCUGUGAAACCUUAAUACGUCAUGAGGACACUCUUUUGAGACUUCCAGCUCUCCCAUGAGGCUGUGAGUUCUUUAGUAUUAGGGUCUGUAUUGAUUUGUCAUUCAGAGUAGGCAGCAGUGUUGUAACAGGCUGUCUCUGGAACCAGAAUAAAUGGGUUUAAAUGCUGGAUCUGCUGCUUCCUAGGAUGUGAUUUAAAUACCUUACCCACCCUCUCCAUGCCUCAGUUUACUCAUCUGUAAAAUAAAUGAUAGUAUUAAUGCCCAUUUUAUAGAUUACUAUGAGGAUGAAAUGAAUAUUUCCUUGAAGUACUUCAUGCAGUGCCUGGAACAUGGUAAAAGUUCAGUAAAUAUUAGCUGUUAAUGAAUGGCAUAAAUAGGUAUUUAAAAAUAUAAUUGCAACCAUCAAAAGCUGGCUUAUAUCCAGUAAGCCUUAUAGCAAAAGUAGAAAAGAAACAGAAAUAAGGAAUAAUUUCUUAUAAUUCCAUUCUUAAAUUCAUAUAUUCUUUCAAACAAAUGUGAGAUGUUACGGAAAACUUAGCUGUUUUGAGGAGAUUCAUUCAUAUACCUGUAUUUGAUGCAAAGACAUUACUAAAGGAGCAUUUUGUUUGGUCCUAGGAAUCAGAAUUGAUUCAGAUAACAGCAUUGACAUCAAGGCUUAUUGUCUAGUAGUCUGUGCAAUAGAGACGUGUGUGCACCUGGAGCUGCUGCAUAUGAUCAUCCAAGGGGUGUGUUAAAAGACACAGCAGUUCAGGCUCCAAUGUCAGAAACACCAAGUCUAAGAUUGAGUAUUUGUAUUUGUAACAGAUCUCAUGAGAACAGAUCGUCUAUGCUUCCUGGCAUAGAAGACAGGAUAAUCUUUACCUUUAUAGUCAAGUAAGGAUUUUUACCAGAAAUGCAUGUGCUGGGGUCUUACAGAAAGUAAGAGCUUGUUAAACUGUCACAUGAGAAAAGAGUUGAGCUUCAAGCAUAGCUGUCCAGGUACUACUGUCAAAGAUAGUGCCCAAUGCCUGAACAGUGUUCCAGUGUUAAAAGUAUUUAACAUUAUUAUUAUUAUUAUUAUUAUUAUUAUUAUUAUUUCACUCCGGUUCCAACCCAGCUGCACAGUGAAUUACCUGAAAGGCACUUGAAAAUUAAGAGACAUUUGUAAUCCAUCCUCAGAUGUUCAGGUUUGGUUAGUCUAAGUCAAAGCCAAAAGUCAGUACUUUUGUUUGCCAGUUGAAUCCAGAGACUUAUGUAUGCCAGGCUAACACUCUACCACUGAUCCACACCUCUAACCUCAACUCUCAGUCCUUUUAAACAAGCCCAGGUGAUCGCACAUGGACAGUAAAAAAUCUCCAUGCAGGCAUCCCAUGGUAUCCCUGGAAGACUUUGGGGCCACUGUGUGCUCCUGGGCUGGAAUCAGACUUGCGUCUUUCUUCUGGGUGCCAAAAGAGGUCAGGCCUCUUGCUUGAAGAAAUUUUACAGAGGCUGAUCAAAACCACAAUCCAAAGGCUUAUAUAAAGCAAGUGGAUAUUUUUAGCAUAAAACAGGAUGUAACAAGUUAGAUAUGUCAGCCACCAAGUAAUUAAUUGAUUUAAUUGUUAAUGUCAAAACAUGCCUACAGUAUGAAAAACACAUUAAAGAGCAUACAUGUACUGGUUCUGUAGUUCUGUGAUUGUACACAACCUCACACAGAGAUCAGACCAAACAUCUCUGUGAGGCUACAUGCUCGAGAGGCCCAGGCAAACGGCCUUCUCUCUGAGACUCCCAUUGGCUGGUAUAACAGUUCUUCAAACUCACUUCUGGUAAAGAACUCCAGAUUUAAGUCAAGCACUAUUUAUGUAAGUGGGACUCUAGAAUCUAUUUUUUGAGCCCCGAGGAUGUAACAUAACUGUCCAAACUGGCAUCUGAGAACCACUGAAAUUUAUUACCUUUAGCACUUUUUAACUCUGACGACCCAAAUAAACAAAGCACUCUCCGUAUCUUCAGAAUCUUCAGCCAUGGGAGUAAGGGAAUAAAUAUGCUUUUCUUUGUUUCCAUUUUGAUAUUUUAAAAUACUUUUAUUGGGUGGUCAUAUUUCUGUAGUGAUCUUUUUUGUUUUUCCAACUGAGUUUUCACACACCAUAAAGUGCUUGUGGGAAUCAUUGUUGCCCCCCUCCCUUAUUCAUUCUUUUUGACUGGUAAUAGCAUCUUAAUGGGGCAUCUCUUCUACUGUCAGUAAAGAUGCUUGUCUGUGAUCCCAGCUAAGAUAAUCAGGUUUCCUCUCCCAAAUCUUUGGACCUUGAAUGGAACAAUGCCAGGAUAGGAAGAAACAAAAAAAUGGUUGGUGUCAACAGUUGUCAGAUGAGACAGUCAUUUGGAUACCAAGAUACCCUGAGCUGCUGUGUUUACUCAGCUAGACUUUCAGCUUGCUACCUAUGUUCUGCCAAUACUUUUCUGUUUUGCUGAAGUUAACUAGAGGUGAUUUCAGUUGCUUGCAACUAAGGAACCAUGUAAGAUACAAUGUUCAAACAAUAUAGUGAUCCCUGUGUCCAUCUGCCUACCAGUGUAGUCUGAGAUCACAGGAUCCGGUAGAUUAUACAUAGAGCUGGCUAAUGUCACUUGUGAUACAAUGAGAUCAUGUGACUAACCUUGGCUGCUGGGUGGAUGCAUGAGAGUCAUAAAGCUUAGAAAAUGAAAGCUCUGCAUAGUCAAACACACUGUUCACAAAUGAACAGAACCAGCAAAUAAGAAAGGUUGGGGAGGUAGGAGACUAAUCAUAGUGAAUUUGGAAGUACAAAGUUUUAAAACAAACUCAUAACCGAGAUUAAUAAGUGAAAUCUAUAAGAAAUGAUAAGCAAUAUUUAGAAUUCAUGGCUUCACAAGCCCAAAGCCUAGUGAAUGGUGGCAAGUUACACGCCUUCCUAGAAAUGAAACUAGGUCACUGUUUACCACAGGAAAUGUGGAAAUGUGGUAAAAAAAUGCUUAUGAAUUUGCAUCUUAAUAAAAUAACCAAUUAGGAAUAAAGUCAAUGUUUACUUUUCUCAUUUUUUGCUGUAGCUACUGAAUUAAAAAUGCAUUAAAGAUGUACAAUCAUAUGUAUACUUGUCAUCUUAGGUGUUUGUUAUAGUAAUGGCAAGUUGAUGAAGCUAUCUCUCUCUCUCUCUCUCUCUCUCUCUCUCUAUAUAUAUAUAUAUAUAUAUAUAUA